GUUUUAAUAAUUUAAAUAAAAUAUUGGUCUUGUAAAUCAAAUAUAAGAAAUUUCUUUUAAAACU
RNAcentral lists this transfer RNA (64 nucleotides) under Abax parallelepipedus. Its description in RNAcentral is "tRNA-Thr". Lineage: Eukaryota; Metazoa; Arthropoda; Insecta; Coleoptera; Carabidae. RNAcentral also lists the same sequence under 1 other name. The record is from RNAcentral.